RNAcentral lists this non-coding RNA (962 nucleotides) under Octopus conispadiceus. The record is from RNAcentral. Lineage: Eukaryota; Metazoa; Mollusca; Cephalopoda; Octopoda; Octopodidae.
UUGAUAUAUUAAAAAAUUUGACCUUAGUUUGAUUUUUAAUUGUUGUGAUUUUAUACAUGUUAGGUUUUAUGAAAAUAUAUUCGUUUUUUAUAAAGAUGUAUAUAUAAAUUUAUAGUGUUUAAUAUAGUUAUAAAAUAUGUACUUAUUUUUUUAUAUUGUUAUGUGAUAUAUAUUAUAAUUAUAUUUAUAAAAUGUUCAGUAUAUAUAAUUAUACAAUAAAUGAAAGUUUUAUAUAGAAAUCGCAUUUGAUAAUUGGUUAAAUUUGUGCCAGCAUCUGCGGUUAUACAAAUAAUUAAAAUUAAGAAUUUUUGGUUAAAAUUAAAGUAAUAAUAAAAUUAAUUUUUGAAAAUUGUUAUGAUUAGUUUUUAGGUAAAAUUUUUAGAUUGAUUAGUUUCUCUUUUUUUUCUUUAUUAUUAAUUCUUUGAAAAUUCAAUUAUAGACUAGGAUUAGAUACCCUAUUAUUUUGAUUUAUAAAAAUUGGUAAUACCUAAGUAUUAUGAAAAUAUUAUUAUUAUUAUUAUAUUAAUAUUAUAUUAUUUAAAACUUAAAAGGUUUGGCGGUUUUACAUAUCCAGUUAGGGGAGUUUGUUAAUUGAUUUGAUGAUCCUCGUUUUAAACUUACUUUUUUUUGAUAUAUUUAUAUAUACAGUUUGUAUAUUGCUGUCGUUAGUUUAUGUUUUGAGAAUUAUUAAAAGACUAGGAAAUGUAUUGAUUUUUAUGUUAAGUCAUAAUGCAGCUAAUAAAAAAGGUUUAAUGAACUACUUUAAUAAAUUUUGUUAAAUAUCCGGAUAUUAGAAAUUAUAUUUUAUUAGAAAGGUGGACUUAAUAGUAAAUAAUAAUUAGUGUGUAUUAUUGAAUUUGGUUUUGUAGAGUGUACAUAUCGCCCGUCACUCUUGUUAGUAAGAUAAGAUAAGUCGUAACAUAGUAGAGGUAGUGGAAAUUGUUUCUGGAAUAAAAUUAUUA